This 458-nucleotide ribosomal RNA is filed under the name uncultured bacterium. Its description in RNAcentral is "bacterial SSU rRNA". It matches the Rfam family "Bacterial small subunit ribosomal RNA", at positions 28 to 489 of the family's 1533-position model. The record is from RNAcentral.
GACGAACGCUGGCGGCGUGCUUAACACAUGCAAGUCGAGCGGUAAGGCCCUUUCGGGGGUACACGAGCGGCGAACGGGUGAGUAACACGUGGGUGACCUGCCCUCAGCUCUGGGAUAAGCCUGGGAAACCGGGUCUAAUACCGGAUAUGACUCCAUGACGCAUGUUGUGGGGUGGAAAGCCUUGUGCGGCUGAGGAUGGGCCCGCGGCCUAUCAGCUUGUUGGUGGGGUGAUGGCCUACCAAGGCGACGACGGGUAGCCGCCUGAGAGGGCGACCGGCCACACUGGGACUGAGACACGGCCCAGACUUCUACGGGAGGCAGCAGUAAGGAAUAUUGCGCAAUGGGGCGAAAAGCCUGACGCAGCGACGCCGCGUGGGGAUGAAGGUCUUCGGAUUGUAAACCCCUUUCGGGAGGGAAGAUGGAACGAGCAAUCGUUCGGACCGGUACCUCCAGAAGCA